RNAcentral lists this ribosomal RNA (468 nucleotides) under uncultured bacterium. RNAcentral describes it as "partial 16S ribosomal RNA". It matches the Rfam family "Bacterial small subunit ribosomal RNA", at positions 28 to 507 of the family's 1533-position model. The record is from RNAcentral.
GACGAACGCUGGCGGCGUGCUUAACACAUGCAAGUCGAACGGAAAGGCCCUGCUUUUGUGGGGUGCUCGAGUGGCGAACGGGUGAGUAACACGUGAGUAACCUGCCCUUGACUUUGGGAUAACUUCAGGAAACUGGGGCUAAUACCGGAUAGGAGCUCCUGCUGCAUGGUGGGGGUUGGAAAGUUUCGGCGGUUGGGGAUGGACUCGCGGCUUAUCAGCUUGUUGGUGGGGUAGUGGCUUACCAAGGCUUUGACGGGUAGCCGGCCUGAGAGGGUGACCGGACACAUUGGGACUGGGAUACGGCCCGGACUCCUACGGGAGGCAGCGGUGGAGAAUGGUGCACAGUGGGCGGAAGCCUGGUGCAGCAACGCCGCGUGCGGGAUGACGGCCUUCGGGUUGUAAACCGCUUUCGCCUGUGACGAAGCGUGAGUGACGGUAAUGGGUAAAGAAGCACCGGCUAACUACGUG